Long non-coding RNA from Canis lupus familiaris (dog), 2218 nucleotides. RefSeq lists it as uncharacterized. NCBI's taxonomy places the organism in Eukaryota, Metazoa, Chordata, Mammalia, Carnivora, Canidae. The transcript has 4 exons. The record is from RefSeq and is a predicted model, not a curated record.
GGUGCCUCGGCCGCUCUCCCGGGCGCGGGCUGGGCGGUGGGCGAUCGGCGCAGGGCGAUGCAUGGCCGCGCGGACUCACGGAGCCCCCCGGCCUGAAGCCUCCGCCUCACACCUCCGCUCCCGCACCGGGUCCCGACAACAGGCCGCCCGACUCCCCGACGAGGUCAGACCCGCCGGCCCGCGCCGCGCCGAGCUGCGAGUCAGCCCUUACUUGUCCUGAUUCUUCCUUUGACGGACGUUCGCCUCCCGCUUGAGACAGUGAAUUCCACGGGACAGACAUUGUGUCCCCCCCACCACCUUUUUUUUUUUUUUUUUUUUUUGCACAAGAGUAUGUGGGGCAGUUGUAGGGUUCAGGAAUAGCCUUUGGAUGAUUAAAUAACGAACAGGUCGGAACCUCUUGUGGACAGGUUUUGACACAUCGCGGGGAGGUGGGGUUAAAGGAUAAAACGAAAACAGGAAAAGGAAGUCCCCCAGAUGGAAGGUUUUGUGGUUUUUGUGGUUGUGUUCCUCGCAGAGGGAUCCCAAAUAGACCUCGUCCAUCUCAAAAUGACUCCUGGGUUCAGGCCUCGUGGGAGAGUUAGAGAACUUUCCAGAAUUGGCUCCUGCUUGAUACCAUCCAGGCUAAACCACAAGUAUUAAUUGAACGUAUUCUACAUAGUAGAUGCAGGCAGGAUGUGAAAAGAAUAUGAUCUAGUCCCUGGUCCAUAGAGCUCCGACUUGAUAAGAUAACAGCCCAACAAUAUAGUCCACUGGGAAAUCCCAAGGUUUUAAAAACAGACAGAACUGGGUCUGCAACCUGGCACUGUUGCGAGACUUGGCAAAACCUCUGAGGACUCAGUUUUUCCUACCUAAAUACAGCUUUAGCAUCCUCAUCGACUAAACCACAACCCUGGUUCAUCGUCACCAACUCUGUCUGUACUGACCCAGCUAAACAGUAGCUACAGAAAAACCCAGAACCAGGCUGGCUGAUCUGACUUCAAAUAUAUGACCGCUAACCUCAAAUGGACGCUAAUGCUGCCUGGAAACCACACUACGUCUCUCCAGUCAUUCUCCAAUUAACAACCAUGACCAGGAAUAGGAAUGCCAGAUUUAGCAAAUAAAGGAAUUUUAUUUAGCAACCCUAUCCAUGAAGCAGUUGCUAAUAUGGAAUUUCAGUCAUUGUGGCAAAUGGUGGGGAAGCUAUUUUGAAGUGGGGGCUUUUUCAGAGCCCUUCUCAACACAGGAUGCCAGGGAGUGACCUAGAAUAUCAAGAUGGUUAACUCUGGUUUUGGCUGUGGACUACAGUCAUUGUUCUCCUAGCUGGAAUUAAGAGGCCAAGAUCCCCAGAGAGAAGAAACAGCAAACCAACACUUCAAAGGGAGAAAAACAAAUGAAAAAAAGAGAGGCCCUGGGAAACACUCAUUAGCGGUAAGCCAUCAAAAACCACCAAGAAGGAAUGGCCAGGACCAAGAGGGGGAUGUGUCACUGAAGCCAAGAAGAAAGUGUUUCAAGGAGGCAGGAAGAAUCAGCUAUCUCUACAUUGGUGAGAAGCUGAGAAAGAUGUAGAAACGUGACCUUUGGCUUUGGCCGGUUGGAAGUCACUAGAGAUUUUGGCAAGAACAUCUCAGUAGAGCAUAUGAACCAAGCCUGCAUGAACAGUGAAGAGAAGAGAAGACAUGAAGAUAUCCCUUUGGAACGAUUGUGCUGUAAGGAGGAGGACAGGUGAUAGAUGCUCCAUCCAGUCUAAAGAAAUGGAAGGAUAUGUACUAAGGCCCUGCUCCACCUUGCCCAGAUGGAAUCAGUGGAGACCUUUUUAACUUUGAGGACCUUGCUGCAGCGCUCCAAGAUGAGGAUUCCUGGCUCACAGCUGCUAAAACCCUUGGAAUUCCAUAAGGGUUGAGAAUGAUGAAGAUAUGUUUUGUUAUGUUAAUGAGGUAACUUUUGGAAAUCACCCUAAGGUUGGGGGCUGGUUGCCAGUGGAGCCAACCAAAUGUUAGAGGGUUGGAAUCUUCAGUCCCCUCCAACUCCAGAGAGGGGAGAGGGGCAGGAGACGGAGCGCAAACAUGGUCAAUGGUCAACCAUGCCUAUGUAAUGAAGCCCUCAUAGAAACCCAAAAAGAUGGAGUUUGUGGAAUUUCCAGUUUGGUGAACAUGUGCAAAUACUGGGAGAGUGGGAUGCCCAGAAAGGGCCUACAAACUCCUUGUCCCUUCUCCAUACCUUGCUCUCUGCAUCUCUUCCA